GCUUAAGCCAUGCAUGUCUAAGUACACACGGGUGGUACAGUGAAACUGCGAAUGGCUCAUUAAAUCAGUUAUGGUUCCUUUGGUCGCUCCUCUCCCGCUCCUUGGAUAACUGUGGUAAUUCUAGAGCUAAUACAUGCCGACGAGCGCCGACCUCCGGGGACGCGUGCAUUUAUCAGACCAAAACCAACCCGAGCCCGCCCGGCAGCUUUGGUGACUCUAUUUAACCUCAGCUGACAUGGCGUGGGCGUUGCCAUGGUGACGGCGGGAGAUUUAAAGGCAGUUGUAACUCGACACUAGCACUCAGUUCCUGAGAUCAGCUAGAUCGGAGCCAGCUCAGCCGGUCC
RNAcentral lists this non-coding RNA (344 nucleotides) under Patagioenas fasciata monilis. RNAcentral describes it as "Eukaryotic small subunit ribosomal RNA". It matches the Rfam family "Eukaryotic small subunit ribosomal RNA", at positions 42 to 345 of the family's 1831-position model. The record is from Rfam by way of RNAcentral. Lineage: Eukaryota; Metazoa; Chordata; Aves; Columbiformes; Columbidae.